Molecule: non-coding RNA, 115 nt
Organism: Triticum urartu
Lineage: Eukaryota; Viridiplantae; Streptophyta; Magnoliopsida; Poales; Poaceae
Source: Rfam
CAUGUACUCCCUCCAUUCGGAAUUACUUGUCACGAAAAUGGAUGUAUCUAGAACUAAAAUACCUUUAGAUACAUUCAUUUCUGCGACAAGUAAUUCCGAACGGAGGGAGUACUAC